This 501-nucleotide ribosomal RNA is filed under the name uncultured bacterium. RNAcentral describes it as "partial 16S ribosomal RNA". It matches the Rfam family "Bacterial small subunit ribosomal RNA", at positions 30 to 523 of the family's 1533-position model. The record is from RNAcentral.
AUUGAACGCUGGCGGCAGGCUUAACACAUGCAAGUCGAGCGGGGGAAGGUAGCUUGCUACCGGACCUAGCGGCGGACGGGUGAGUAAUGCUUAGGAAUCUGCCUAUUAGUGGGGGACAACAUCUCGAAAGGGAUGCUAAUACCGCAUACGUCCUACGGGAGAAAGCAGGGGAUCUUCGGACCUUGCGCUAAUAGAUGAGCCUAAGUCGGUUUAGCUAGUUGGUGGGGUAAAGGCCUACCAAGGCGACGAUCUGUAGCGGGUCUGAGAGGAUGACCCGCCACACUGGGACUGAGACACGGCCCAGACUCCUACGGGAGGCAGCAGUGGGGAAUAUUGGACAAUGGGUGGAACCCUGAUCCAGCCAUGACGCGUGUGUGAAGAAGGCCUUAUGGUUGUAAAGCACUUUAAGCGAGGAGGAGGCUACUUUAGCUAAUACCUGGAGAUAGUGGACGUUACUCGCAGAAUAAGCACCGGCUAACUCUGUGCCAGCCGCCGCGGUAA